This 425-nucleotide ribosomal RNA is filed under the name uncultured bacterium. RNAcentral describes it as "bacterial SSU rRNA". It matches the Rfam family "Bacterial small subunit ribosomal RNA", at positions 354 to 796 of the family's 1533-position model. The record is from RNAcentral.
GUGGGGAAUCUUGCGCAAUGGGCGAAAGCCUGACGCAGCCAUGCCGCGUGAAUGAUGAAGGUCUUAGGAUUGUAAAAUUCUUUCACCGGGGACGAUAAUGACGGUACCCGGAGAAGAAGCUCCGGCUAACUUCGUGCCAGCAGCCGCGGUAAUACGAAGGGGGCUAGCGUUGCUCGGAAUUACUGGGCGUAAAGGGCGCGUAGGCGGACAGCUUAGUCAGAGGUGAAAGCCCAGGGCUCAACCUUGGAAUUGCCUUUGAUACUGGCUGUCUUGAGUUUGGGAGAGGUGAGUGGAACUCCGAGUGUAGAGGUGAAAUUCGUAGAUAUUCGAAAGAACACCAGUGGCGAAGGCGACUCACUGGCCCAAUACUGACGCUGAGGCGCGAAAGCGUGGGGAGCAAACAGGAUUAGAUACCCCGGUAGUCC